This 998-nucleotide long non-coding RNA is filed under the name Homo sapiens (human). RNAcentral describes it as "HSALNT0401736". Lineage: Eukaryota; Metazoa; Chordata; Mammalia; Primates; Hominidae. The record is from RNAcentral.
GAUGUCAUUUUACUAUAAUUUUCCCUGGCCAUUUUAUUAUAAUUUUUAGAUUGGCCAAGGUUAAGAAAGAUGACAGCUCUGUGGGCUAGAGGGUGGAGAGACAAGCCCUCUCCUACACUGGUGAGGGGUGCCAGGAUUCUGUAGCAACACCUUUGAGUGAGCAUAACCUUGGACUCAAACAAUUUUCCUUACAGGCAAUAACCUACGAAAUACUGGGAUAUACGCACAAAGAUCCAUGUGCCAGGAUAUGUGUUGGAGGAUUUAUAUUUGGAGAAAAUUAAAUGCGCAAUGAGAGGUGCUGUUAUUAUUCCCACUUUACAGAGGGGAAGGCUGAAGCUCAAAGAAGCAAGGCAACUCUCAGGGGUCACAGAAGUGAUAAACUGAGGAGUUGGAAUUCCAGAGUCCAAGCUGGUGACGAGCACCGUGAACUCCUCUUCUCUGGCCACCACUCUACUCUACAACAAAGUCUAUAAAUUAUGGCCAUGGCCAGAUCCAGCUCGCCACCUGUUUCUCUGCUGUUCCCAAGGAAGUACGGGACGGAAAUUAAAGAAGAAAGUGGUUCCACAGGUUUGGUGGCUACAAAAAGAUUUCCUCGAUAAACACUGCCCACAGUCACUCAUUUGUGAAAGCUGCAUGAUGUGAAAUUAAACUCGGGCAGAGGUGCUGUGGGUGAUGAUGUCUCGGUGGCUUGGGGAAAUGAAAGCCAUUCAUCUCAGGCAAAUGUGACAGGCAGGACCAUUGGCUUUCCGUCACCUAUGGGCUGCCUUCUCAUGGCAGUGGCCUAUGCAGGCCUUACGUUUUUGCAGCAAAUUUGUAAUGAACCAAUCAGUGGCCUUCAUGUCAGGCAAUCUAGGAAGGUUUUGGAAGUGGGACUACUUGCCCCACUGUUGGUGAGUAUUAGAUAUCCCUUUAGGAAGGUUCAAGAGCCCAUGCUGGCCAGGCGCGGUGGCUCAUGCCUGUAAUCCCAGCACUUUGGGAGGUCGAGGUGGGCAGAUCAC